RNAcentral lists this long non-coding RNA (728 nucleotides) under Rosa chinensis. RNAcentral describes it as "sRNA RchiOBHm_Chr2g0089931". The record is from RNAcentral. Lineage: Eukaryota; Viridiplantae; Streptophyta; Magnoliopsida; Rosales; Rosaceae.
GUGGUUUUGAUAUGAUGGGAGACGGAGAUAUCAAUGAGAGCUUCGAUCUGGAUUCUGCCGACAUAGAGAAAAAGUUCAGCCAGACAGAGAGUGAGGGAGAGAAGAAAAAGUUCAGAAGAAAGAAGAGAAGCAACUAGAAUCCAAAACCGCAAGCGCCAAACACCAAUCGGCAAGAUUUUCAGAUCAAAAACAAAGAAUCCAAAACAAACCCAGACCAAUGCGUGCGUAAUUGAGCUCAUUUGGUCAAAUCGGAAUAUCUGAUUGAGCAUCCAUUUGAUCGAAUCGGAGGAUCCGAUUGAGCAAUCAUAUAUCUUUGAUAUAUUGAGGUUCAACCGUUCAGUUCACUCUUCACAAUAUAAUACUAGACUGUGUUAAAGAGAGGCAGAGAGAGGGAGAUAGAGUUGCAUGCAGCAUGCCUAUAGAUAAGAGAAGAAAGAGGGAGAUACUUCUUAUUUUGAAAUCGAGCAGAGGAAGCUAAUUAUAUUCUGAAAUAGUGGGAAUUGCAGAAAGGUCAGAGAAGAAACUGAAGGUGAAACUAGACGAUAGAAGUUCCAAGGACCAUUGUCUAGAUGAAUCAGAGGGAAGGAUUCAGUAGACGGCUAUUCAUUUGGGGCUUGAAAAUCAAGGAGAUGAGAAGAAUGACAUGAUGAAUUUCACUAGAUUGAUCGUGGAUAUGAUGAAAAAAGAGAAACCAUUUGCUUCUCAAGGAGGUCCUAUGAUUAUUGCUC